Long non-coding RNA from Micropterus dolomieu (smallmouth bass), 277 nucleotides. RefSeq lists it as uncharacterized. Lineage: Eukaryota; Metazoa; Chordata; Actinopteri; Centrarchiformes; Centrarchidae. The record is from RefSeq and is a predicted model, not a curated record. The transcript has 2 exons.
CCCUCCACCUCCAGCAACGAAUUCAUCACCACCACCACCAGAGACCUCAACAACUCCUUCACCUCUAACAAGACAAACCACAUCUGAACCUCUUCCAGCAGCUCCUUCUCUGUGGCCGUCUGUUCGUAUGGGGAUUGGGAUACUCUACUUAAUCAUCAUGACCAGCAUCACUGUCACUACCUGGAGAAAAGCUCAACAGAAACUGAAGCGACACACAGCGGCAACAAAAAAUGAUCUGUGAUCCUUAUAAAAAUAAACACAAACAUUUUCAACACUG